AAGAUUUUAAGUUAGAAAACUAAUAGCCUUCAAAGCUUUAAUCACUUUAUUUAUGAGUAAAUCUUG
RNAcentral lists this transfer RNA (66 nucleotides) under Cephalothrix sp. BMK-2020. RNAcentral's name for it is "tRNA-Trp". Lineage: Eukaryota; Metazoa; Nemertea; Palaeonemertea; Archinemertea; Cephalotrichidae. The record is from RNAcentral.